UAACGGUAAUAAUUCUCCCAGCCAUGCGUGAACGUGGGUCUGUCCCAUUUUAAACGUCAACCCUUUAUCAAAGGC
RNAcentral lists this transfer RNA (75 nucleotides) under Escherichia coli. RNAcentral describes it as "tRNA-Gln". The record is from RNAcentral. Lineage: Bacteria; Pseudomonadati; Pseudomonadota; Gammaproteobacteria; Enterobacterales; Enterobacteriaceae.